Thamnophis elegans (Western terrestrial garter snake) is the source of this 321-nucleotide long non-coding RNA. RefSeq lists it as uncharacterized. The transcript is spliced from 3 exons. Lineage: Eukaryota; Metazoa; Chordata; Lepidosauria; Squamata; Natricidae. The record is from RefSeq and is a predicted model, not a curated record.
UGUCUGCCUCCUGGAUGAUAUUCAUUCCCCCGGGAUUGUUAGAAGAGAGCAAGAGAUGUAACAAAGAUUUCCUGUGUCUAAUUAAAGGAAGCUGCCAGCUGCAAAACAGAAAGAAUCCCCUUUGCUCGUGCAAACCGUACAGCUUCUGAAAUUCUCAUCCCACAGAGAGCAGAGGCCCCAGUUCCAUUCUCCUUCUAGCUUGACCUUCAGGACUAAAGAGGGAAAGAUAAAGCAGAAAGCAGGCUCCUGACAGGAUCCUGGAGCUGCAUUUGAAGAUUCAAGUAGAAGAAUUAUAGAAAGCUGAGAGAUUCCAAAACUGCA